UACGGAGGGUGCAAGCGUUAAUCGGAAUUACUGGGCGUAAAGCGUGCGCAGGCGGUUUGUUAAGUCCGCUGUGAAAUCCCCGAGCUCAACUUGGGAAUUGCAGUGGAUACUGGCAAGCUGGAGUAUGGUAGAGGAAGGUGGAAUUCCCGGUGUAGCAGUGAAAUGCGUAGAGAUCGGGAGGAACACCAGUGGCGAAGGCGGCCUUCUGGACCAAUACUGACGCUCAGGCACGAAAGCGUGGGGAGCAAAAGGG
Molecule: ribosomal RNA, 253 nt
Filed under: uncultured bacterium
Lineage: Bacteria
Description: partial 16S ribosomal RNA
Rfam family: Bacterial small subunit ribosomal RNA
Source: RNAcentral